RNAcentral lists this ribosomal RNA (467 nucleotides) under uncultured bacterium. Its description in RNAcentral is "partial 16S ribosomal RNA". It matches the Rfam family "Bacterial small subunit ribosomal RNA", at positions 28 to 507 of the family's 1533-position model. The record is from RNAcentral.
GACGAACGCUGGCGGCGUGCUUAACACAUGCAAGUCGAACGGAAAGGCCUCUUUCGGGGGGUACUCGAGUGGCGAACGGGUGAGUAACACGUGAGUAACCUGCCCUUGACUUUGGGAUAACUUCAGGAAACUGGGGCUAAUACCGGAUAGGAGCUCCUGCUGCAUGGUGGGGGUUGGAAAGUUUCGGCGGUUGGGGAUGGACUCGCGGCUUAUCAGCUUGUUGGUGGGGUAGUGGCUUACCAAGGCUUUGACGGGUAGCCGGCCUGAGAGGGUGACCGGCCGCAUUGGGACUGAGAUACGGCCCAGACUCCUACGGGAGGCAGCAGGGGGGAAGAUUGCACAAUGGGUGGAAGCCGGAUGCAGCAAGGCCGUGUGCGGGAUGACGGCCUUGGGGUUGUAAACCGCGUUCGCUCAUGACGAAGCUUUGUGUGACGGUAGUGGGUAAAGAAGCACCGGCUAACUACGUG